Long non-coding RNA from Triplophysa rosa, 1712 nucleotides. RefSeq lists it as uncharacterized. The record is from RefSeq and is a predicted model, not a curated record. NCBI's taxonomy places the organism in Eukaryota, Metazoa, Chordata, Actinopteri, Cypriniformes, Nemacheilidae. The transcript has 3 exons.
GACUGAACUCAAUUUAGAGAUUCUUUUUCUCACUGUGCUACUUGAAGGGCCGGAACUAAUUACAUCGAGGGUCGCCAAUUGAAUAGCCCGGCUAUAAACUAUUGAUGAUGUGAAAGAAACAUGAUCUUAUUACAUUUCUCUGAAUUUGAGUGAAAGCUGUUCCACUGUGUUGUGUUGAUUUGUGUAAGGAAAAGGCAUCCCAGUCAUUACAGUGAACACAAACUAGACACAUUUAAUUCAUUAAAAGCUCAUUUUUUCACAUUUAUUGUGUGUUUAAUUGAUCAGAGUAGGUAGUAAAUGCAUAAUUCUCUCCAUUAGUUGAUAAAGUGAGUUGAGUCUGAUAUUCACACGGUUAAUAAAUCAAGUCUUGUUUAUUAUUGUAGUGCUUCACAAUAAACGGCUUCAUUUCAAUGUGUGAUGAUAUAAACUCAAGUGAUUCUAGAGCUGACUGAAGACAUGACUGUGUGUUCACACUAACACAUGUUCACAUGUUCAUAUGUUUCAUGUGUGUGUGAUUCUUUACAGAAAAACGUCCUCCAAAUCAGAUCAAGAAGAACUCAGACACUGGUGAUGGAACAGAACUGAACAAACGGAGAUCAGAUUCAGCAGGAAUUGAAGAAAAUGAAUCAACAACUGUUGAGAUGCCUUUACUGAAAGAAGCAGAAGAUGAAGUUUGAUCAGCUGAUAGAUGCUCAACAUCACAUCUGUCACAUCAUCAACAUCUACAGUUACACGACUGUUUCACUCAUGAUCUCAUGAUCCGUCCUCUUUAAAAGAUCAACUCGUGUGUGAUGUUGAGCUCAAGUGAUAAAAGCUUUUAAAGCUAAAUUAAACUUUAGGUUUUUAGGCUUUAAUUAAAAUUAAAGGUUUUUGAUAAACAACAUAAACUUUCAUUAAUUUGUCGUUGACACAGAUCAAUGAUCAGAAUGUUUAUAUUUUUAUAUUUCAUGUCUGUUACUCACUGCAUAUCAUGUUAUCACUUUGACUCUCAUGUGUUUGAUAUUGUGUGAUUAUAGACAGUAUUGAUUUAAUAUCUGAUGAUGAUGAAAUAUCAGAUAAACAUGAAGAACAUCUUUAGUCUUUCUUUAACCCGUCUCUAAUCUGCUUUUAUACACUUUUUAUAUAUACUAACACCAAAAACAAGUUCAUGAUGAUGACAAUCUGUGUUUAUCAUGUGAAGAAGAUUCUAGAAAAUACACGAGAGAAACAUCUUGAGCAUCAGUGUUAGAUUGUGAUGUCUGUUCUGUUUUUAUUGUUGAAGAUUAUUUUAACGUUUCAUUUACAGUAUUAUUUGAUUCAAUAUGUGCCUAUAUUGUAUUUUUGUAACUCAACUGUUUUUUGCUUAAGAAAAUCUGUUUUCUGAUCAGAUCUGAAUGUAAAAUGAUGAAUUCAGACACUCAGUCCAGAUAUAAAAUCUUCAUAAAGCACUUAACUGAAUAACUCUUGCCUUAUUGCUCUUAUUAGAAAAAAUGCGCUAGCUUUAAUAUGUUCUGCUUUGAAUGAAUCUCAUGUUUAUUUUACUUCAGAUGUCAUACAUGUACAUGUAACAGUAUUGAUAAGUGUGUGUGCCUGAUCAUUUCUGUCAUUUAGUGGAUAAACUGAUUAUUUUCUACUGGCUGUUUUAACAGUAAACACAUGCUUGUGUGUUCAACUUUAACAUGUUUGACUGAAUAUGUGCCAUUGUUAUUAUUAAUAAAUUAAUAAAAGUUCAA